GACGUAGGGCGCGAGCGUUGUCCGGAUUUAUUGGGCGUAAAGAGCGUGUAGGCGGACUGGAAGGUCUGGUGUGAAAGCCCGGGGCUCAACCCCGGAGGGUCACUGGAAACCAACAGUCUUGAAUCUGGAAGAGGAGAGUGGAAUUCCUGGUGUAGCGGUGGAAUGCGCAGAUAUCAGGAGGAACACCAAUGGCGAAGGCAGCUCUCUGGUACAUGAUUGACGCUGAGACGCGAAAGCGUGGGGAGCGAACAGG
This 253-nucleotide ribosomal RNA is filed under the name uncultured bacterium. RNAcentral describes it as "partial 16S ribosomal RNA". It matches the Rfam family "Bacterial small subunit ribosomal RNA", at positions 524 to 776 of the family's 1533-position model. The record is from RNAcentral.